This is a non-coding RNA of Stegodyphus mimosarum, 73 nucleotides long. Lineage: Eukaryota; Metazoa; Arthropoda; Arachnida; Araneae; Eresidae. The record is from Rfam.
GCCUUCAUGGUGUAGUGGUCAGCACGCUCGCCGUGUAACCGAGAGGUCCGUGGUUUGAUUCCCGGUGAAGGCA